RNAcentral lists this ribosomal RNA (440 nucleotides) under uncultured Bacillus sp. Its description in RNAcentral is "bacterial SSU rRNA". It matches the Rfam family "Bacterial small subunit ribosomal RNA", at positions 358 to 790 of the family's 1533-position model. Lineage: Bacteria; Bacillati; Bacillota; Bacilli; Caryophanales; Bacillaceae. The record is from RNAcentral.
GGAAUCUUCCGCAAUGGACGAAAGUCUGACGGAGCAACGCCGCGUGAACGAAGAAGGCCUUCGGGUCGUAAAGUUCUGUUGUUAGGGAAGAACAAGUACCAGAGUAACUGCUGGUACCUUGACGGUACCUAACCAGAAAGCCACGGCUAACUACGUGCCAGCAGCCGCGGUAAUACGUAGGUGGCAAGCGUUGUCCGGAAUUAUUGGGCGUAAAGCGCGUGCAGGUGGUUCCUUAAGUCUGAUGUGAAAGCCCACGGCUCAACCGUGGAGGGUCAUUGGAAACUGGGGAACUUGAGUGCAGAAGAGGAAAGUGGAAUUCCAAGUGUAGCGGUGAAAUGCGUAGAGAUUUGGAGGAACACCAGUGGCGAAGGCGACUUUCUGGUCUGUAACUGACACUGAGGCGCGAAAGCGUGGGGAGCAAACAGGAUUAGAUACCCCGG